UGCAGAUGGAGAACCAGGCACUGAUUCAACAGCUCCUGAGGUCCCAGGAACGUCAUCAGGCACAAUGGAAACUACAUGCUAUAGUAAAUAUACUGAGCUUUAUGCGCCCAUUGUAAUUGAGGAUGACGAUGACUCAGACAGGGUUGAGAGCAAC
Long non-coding RNA from Oryzias latipes (Japanese medaka), 154 nucleotides. RefSeq lists it as uncharacterized. The record is from RefSeq and is a predicted model, not a curated record. Lineage: Eukaryota; Metazoa; Chordata; Actinopteri; Beloniformes; Adrianichthyidae.